AAUGAACGCUGGCGGCAUGCCUUACACAUGCAAGUCGAACGGCAGCAUGACCUAGCUUGCUAGGUUGAUGGCGAGUGGCGAACGGGUGAGUAAUGCAUCGGAACGUGCCUUUUAGUGGGGGAUAACGUAGCGAAAGUUACGCUAAUACCGCAUAUUCUCUGAGGAGGAAAGCAGGGGACCUUCGGGCCGUGCGCUACAAGAGCGGCCGAUGUCGGAUUAGCUAGUUGGUGUGGUAAAGUCUCACCAAGGCAACGAUCCGUAGCGGGUCUGAGAGGAUGAUCCGCCACACUGGGACUGAGACACGGCCCAGACUCCUACGGGAGGCAGCAGUGGGGAAUUUUGGACAAUGGGCGCAAUCCUGAUCCAGCCAUGCCGCGUGAGUGAAGAAGGCCUUCGGGUUUUAAAGCUCUUUCGGCUGGGAAGAAAUCGCACCCUCUAAUACAGGGUGUGGAUGACGGUACCAGCAUAAGAAGCACCGGCUAACUACGUG
Molecule: ribosomal RNA, 490 nt
Filed under: uncultured bacterium
Lineage: Bacteria
Description: partial 16S ribosomal RNA
Rfam family: Bacterial small subunit ribosomal RNA
Source: RNAcentral